Molecule: RNA transcript, 1520 nt
Organism: Ziziphus jujuba (common jujube)
Lineage: Eukaryota; Viridiplantae; Streptophyta; Magnoliopsida; Rosales; Rhamnaceae
Gene name: probable 2-carboxy-D-arabinitol-1-phosphatase
Exons: 7
Source: RefSeq, a predicted model, not a curated record
UUCUGCAAAGCUAUCGGAGCCAUCCAAACAGCGCCAACACUUUUAGUAUUUGUAUCCAAAUUAUAAUCAGCCAGAGGAAUCACAUAUUGUCCGAUCAGACAACACUAUUACCUGCAUCCAACGGCCAAGAUCAUCUAUCACAAUACACAUGAGACAAUCACCACAAGCUACUAAUUCUCGUUGAGACAACCAAAUCCACUAGAAUCUGAACCAGUGACACACGCAUCACUCUAACCAAAACCAGCAACCUAGAAUAUGGGUUAUGGAAUUCUUACCCUGACAACACCUUCAUGUUCGACCUCCAUAGAUUACUCCAGGAAACCUCCCGAGUUCCAGGCUCUUUCCUUACGUGCAGUUAGAAUUCAGUGCUCAAAUUCUAGCCCAGAUGUGCCUCUAACCUCUGAGAAACUUGAGAAUGAAGCUCCUUUGACGGGCAGUGCAUUUGAUUUCAAUAAAGCAACAUUACCUCUUACCCAUAAGUCGAUCUCUUCAUCAAAGAAAGUAACCCUUAUACGGCAUGGUCUUAGCUCAUGGAAUGUGGAAAGUAGAGUUCAGGGAAGCUCAAACCUGUCUUUCCUAACAGAAACUGGAGUGGAGCAAGCUGAGAGAUGCAAAGAAGCCUUAGCAAAUAUAUACUUUGAUCAGUGUUUCUCAAGUCCAAUAUCUCGUGCCAAGUCCACUGCUGAAAUUAUAUGGCAAGGGAGGGAACAGCCACUCAUUUUCCUUGAUUCACUGAAGGAGGCCCAUUUAUAUUACCUUGAAGGCAUGAAAAAUGUGGAUGCCAAGCAGAGAUAUCCAAAGGAGUACACAACAUGGAGAGAGGAUCCAGCUAAUUUUAAAGUGAAUGGAAUUUUCCCUUUACUAAAUCUUUGGGGAACAGCAAGAGAGGCUUGGAGGGAAAUCUUACUCACACCUGGGGAGCAUUUCUUAGUUAUUACUCACAAAUCAAUCUUGAGGGCAUUGAUCUGCACAGCUUUAGGGCUUGGCCCUGAGAGGUAUUAAAGUUGUUUUCAGCAAAUUCUGUGAAAAUAACACAAGCUGUUUUUGCGGGGCAGUUAUGGUUCCGUGCUAUUGAUGUAAACAACGGUGGAAUUUCUGUAUUCAAUUUCAACAAAAGAGGAGAAGCAAUGCUUCAAUCUCUGAACAUGACUGCCCACAUGUACAGUGAUCAUGUCUAUCAAUACUGAUACUUUGAUGUGCAAACAGCAUACCCUUCCUACCCUCCACUGCUAUUGCUACAAGGACACUCGACCCAUCAAAUACGAACUCUUUCCGCAGUCGCAGUUGGGAAUGAGAGGACGAGCUCACAAAUUGAGCAAUAACCAUUUUACAUUCAGUCUAAAUGUAUCAACUUUGAAGUUGAGUAGCUCCUGUUUUUUUUUUUUUUUUUUUGGUUGCGAAUGGUAGCUCCUGUUUUUUGGUGAACAAUAUUGCAUUCCAUUUUCAUGUUUGUGUUGUUACCAUGUAGAAAAGAGAGAAUUUUAAGUGGCGUAUUACAUGAUACCUACACCACAUAGAAA